AACGAACGCUGGCGGCGCGUCUUAAACAUGCAAGUCGAACGGCAGGAAGGGGCUUGCCCCUUCUGAGAGUGGCGGACUGGUGAGUAACACGUGGGUGACAUACCUUUUAGUUGGGGAUAGCUAUUAGAAAUAGUAGGUAAUACCGAAUGUGACCGUACCUGUUAGAGGGGUACGAGGAAAGGAGCUAAGGCUUCGCUAAAAGAAUGGCUCGCGGCCCAUUAUGCUCGUUGGUGAGGUAACGGCCCACCAAGGCGAUGAUGGGUAUCCGGCCUGAGAGGGUGAACGGACACAUUGGGACUGAGAUACGGCCCAGACUUCUACGGGAGGCAGCAGUUAAGAAUAUUCCGCAAUGGACGAAAGUCUGACGGAGCGACGCCGCGUGGAUGAAGAAUGCCGAAAGGUUGUAAAAUCCUUUUAAACCUGAUGAAUAAGCACAGUAGGGAAUGAUUGUGCGGUGACCGUAGGGCUUGAAUAAGCACCGGCUAAUUACGUG
RNAcentral lists this ribosomal RNA (493 nucleotides) under uncultured bacterium. Its description in RNAcentral is "partial 16S ribosomal RNA". It matches the Rfam family "Bacterial small subunit ribosomal RNA", at positions 29 to 507 of the family's 1533-position model. The record is from RNAcentral.